UGGUUCUGGCAUCGAUGAAGAACGCAGCGAAAUGCGAUAAGUAAUGCGAAUUGCAGAAUUCCGUGAGUCAUCGAAUCUUUGAACGCACAUUGCGCCCUUUGGCAUUCCGAAGGGCAUGCCUGUUCGAGCGUCAUUAUCAACCCUCAAGCCUGGCUUGUUGUUGGACAUCGGUCGACCGUUGGGUCAACCGGUCCGAAAGAUAAUGACGGUGUCGGUGAGACCCUCGGUACAAGGAGCUUUAACGAGCACGUAUCGCGGGGCCCAUCGACCCGGUCUACUUUUUACAAUUCUAAGGUUGACCUCGGAUCAGGUAGGAAUACCCGCUGA
RNAcentral lists this unclassified non-coding RNA (327 nucleotides) under uncultured fungus. RNAcentral describes it as "partial contains 5.8S ribosomal RNA and internal transcribed spacer 2". The stretch from base 1 to 133 matches the Rfam family "5.8S ribosomal RNA", at positions 22 to 154 of the family's 154-position model. The record is from RNAcentral. Lineage: Eukaryota; Fungi.